GUUUGUGAAUGUUUAGUAUCCCACCACCUGUGAGGAAAUUCCUCCGAAUUCAUGCGGAAAUAGGUGUGGAAUUGAUGUGAAUUGAUUUGGUGAAUGAAAGUUUGAAUGUGCUUUUUAUUAUCACCGGUCGUUUAUGAGGAGAUGCCUCUAAAUUCUAUCGGGAGAUUUAAAUAUCACAACUGAAUUGGGCAGUUGAAGUUACAAUUUAGUGUAAUAAAUGUAAAACUGUUGAAUUAGAACAUGACCACAGCAUUAUAUGUUUUGUAGGAUUGUCAUGUUGUAACGAGAGAAGGUAGAAACCCUGUAUAAGUGUGGACCAAUUUUUCUUCAAAUAAACUGAUCCCACCUUUUGGAUUGGGACAACUUAAAAGACA
Molecule: long non-coding RNA, 374 nt
Organism: Trematomus bernacchii (emerald rockcod)
Lineage: Eukaryota; Metazoa; Chordata; Actinopteri; Perciformes; Nototheniidae
Exons: 2
Source: RefSeq, a predicted model, not a curated record